This is a long non-coding RNA of Topomyia yanbarensis, 1809 nucleotides long. RefSeq lists it as uncharacterized. The record is from RefSeq and is a predicted model, not a curated record. The transcript has 3 exons. NCBI's taxonomy places the organism in Eukaryota, Metazoa, Arthropoda, Insecta, Diptera, Culicidae.
UAAUUUAGCUUCGUUUAAUAUUAUUAAUAAUAUUAAUAUUUAAUUGUUCAUUGUGUAUAUUUCUAACGUUCAUGAAAUUGAACCAGUACAGUAGCGCGAGAGAGGCUUCUUUAAAAUAGACUUGCUAUAAUCCACUUGAGUUACAACCGUUCUUCGCACGCGCCAAUUUGUAGUUUGCUUCGCCUAGUGUCGCUACCGAUGGGAGUGUAAUUUGGCUACCGAAAAAGCCUACCGACCUUAUCAAGAGUUCACGAACUCUUGCACCCUUCGGUGAAGAGUCUGUUUCACUCUGAUGAGUGGCAAGCGACAGGCUGGUCCAAUUGAAGCCACCCGUAGAAAUGAGAUGCUGUUAUGCAGCUGAGGAAACUCGGGACUGUUAAUGCGAAUUCGAGAAUGUCGCUAUUGUCCACUUCGUGGAAAAUACGUCAGAUCUGCUAACGAAGAUCUUCAAUCCGCGGUUAAUCUGAGGAUUUUCAAAGCCCAAUAAACCACAUUGAACUAAUCAGUGGAAGAGGCAAGAGUGGUUCGUCGUUUGUUCGCGCCGUGAUGUGUUCAGCGUGAAUAGCAAUUGAUAGUGCAACCCAAUUAGCUUGGCGAUUUUUGCGUGCACUCCGAAGAAGAUAUUAAGGUUCAUGGCAGCCGUCGAACGUCCAAAAGCAUCACAUCUCCUCGUUGGUAACCACUCUUUACCACACAGUUCGUCUCAAGGUUGGUCCCGGUGGUACACGUGGCCGGAAGAAGGCAGCAUCCGUCAAACUGCGCCUUGGCAGGACCAUUCGACUACCGAAACGCUGUACCAGCACACCCAGCACAUUUUCCGGUGACGACCGGAAGAUUGUGCGGCAGUACCCCGCCGGCAGUCCACGAAUGGGUGGUGGAGACUAUCGUCGUCCGUUAAGCGCGAUCUGGAGUGAUCGCCCGUCGCAUCAUCAGCAGCAGCAGUAGAAGGAAUCACCGUCUCCCGCCCAACAUCGCCACGAAAACCCUAGGUCAUGAGUAGAGUGUUUUAUUUUUUAUGAACGUGUCCACUGGAAAACAAAGAAGAAAAGAAUGACCGGAACAGUGAGAAUGAAGAAACAGUGAAAAUUCACCUUUUCAUUGGAAACGCUUAGAAAAGAUAUGUCCUCAAGCAGAAAUCGAACCUGCGAUCUCCCAGUCUCUAGUUGGGUGCGUUAGCCACUCCGCCAUCGAGGAACUGUGAUGAUGCCAUCACAUGUUCCCAACAGCUUUUGUGAUCACCGCUGCAGCCUCCAAUACCUCCUAAUUGACCCAUCGACCCCCUCCUCCUAAUUGACCCAUCGACCCCCAAUGUCUGCUACAAGUAGAUCGUCUCCUCUCACCGAUCGGGCCAAAUCUCUCUCGUUAUCUAUUUUUAGGUCCAGUGGACUGCGCUCAAGGCUUGAGAUAUUUAUUAUCACUGUUUGCCCCAUUUCCUAACUCAGUCGCCACCGGUCAGUCGUCGAUGAAAUUUAAAUUCUCAAUUACUGUAUGCACAAUCGUUGUUUUGAGCUGUAAUGAAGGGGGUCGUUCAAUGCUUGUUCCAAUAAUUGGAAAUGGCUAGUUUACCAAUAGACAGUGUCUCCACAAACAGUAUUAUUUCAAAAGCAGUAAUAAAUGCUGCAUUCUCCGAAGAAACACUAAAUAUUUGUCACAUCAAUGUACAAAGUCUUUGUGCACGUAGUUUCACUAAGUUCGAUGAGUUAAAAAUGACAUUUGCGAAUAGUAAAGCCGACAUUAUAUGUAUGACAGAAACAUGGAUGAAUAGCACGAUUACAAAUUCUAUGAUCGCCAUCAGGAAUGUAAUGCACC